Molecule: unclassified non-coding RNA, 390 nt
Filed under: Hevea brasiliensis (rubber tree)
Lineage: Eukaryota; Viridiplantae; Streptophyta; Magnoliopsida; Malpighiales; Euphorbiaceae
Source: RNAcentral
CUCAAUUCUCUGGUCUGCUAAAAGCUAGCCAGCCAUUGCAGAGGAUUUCAAAGCUUGAAGGUCGAACGAAAUGUCGGAGGACAAGCGGAACAUUCUUGAUCAUUGUCGCCGACAGCUUGCUGCGAAGUUUGAGUUGAAGCGGAAGCUUUACAAAGCCAUUUGCAACGAUACAAGUCUUCCCAACGAUGUGCGUGAGGAGCAUCGUUAUAAGCUAUCGAAAUUGCCAAGAAAUAGUUCGUUCACUCGACUGAGGAAUCGCUGCAUUUUCACCGGUCGACCUAGGGCUGUCUACCAGCUUUUCCGUGUUUCUCGUAUCGUUUUCCGUGAUCUGGCGUCCAAAGGUCUUAUAAUGGGUGUCAAGAAAUCUUCUUGGUAGAUAUUGAUAGAUGG